UACGGGGGGGGCAAGCGUUGUUCGGAAUUACUGGGCGUAAAGGGUUCGUAGGUGGCUCGCUAAGUCAGACGUGAAAUCCCUCAGCUUAACUGGGGAACUGCGUCUGAGACUGGCGAGCUUGAGUGCAGGAGAGGAACGCGGAAUUCCAGGUGUAGCGGUGAAAUGCGUAGAUAUCUGGAGGAACACCGGUGGCGAAGGCGGCAUCCUGGACCAACACUGACGCUGAGGAGCGAAAGCCAGGGGAGCAAACGGG
This 253-nucleotide ribosomal RNA is filed under the name uncultured bacterium. Its description in RNAcentral is "partial 16S ribosomal RNA". It matches the Rfam family "Bacterial small subunit ribosomal RNA", at positions 524 to 776 of the family's 1533-position model. The record is from RNAcentral.